AACCAUAAACAUGUUUAUGCAACACAAAUAAUUUAAUAUAAUUAUUGCAAAUGUACUUACCAUAAUGAUUGUUUUACGAUCUCAGCCUGUUGUCUUGUUUCAAUUUCUCUUUGUGGGUUGUUCAUGCAAAGAACAGGAAAUACUGCAACAGAUAUGCCAGAACUGUGAGAGCUGCAGAGGAUUAACAAUGAACUUUUCUCUGCUCUUCUUUUUCUUCUUCAUUUUGCCAGGUCUUGGCUCUGCUGAAGUGAGGCUGAUCCAGAGCACAGAUAAAGACCAGUAUACUGUGGGAGAAUCUGCAACAUGUCAGUGUAAGAUCGCAUUUGAUACUGAGACUGUUGAGCUCUGUGAACUACAAUGGGUAACUAAACAUCCAGAGGAUAAAGGCAAAAUUUUAGAGAUGCAGAAUGCUGGAAAGUUUCUGGGUCGAGUUCGCAUCAACUCGAACGACACCCACAGCUUCAUGACACUGGAAAGCCUAACAACAAGCGACACAGAUUCUUUCCGCUGUCAUGCAAGGUGCAACGUGAAUCAAAAGUAUAAAAUCCUCUUUGGGAAUGAAAUCAAACUGACAGUAAAAGGUUUGUGUGGUUAUCUUCUUAUUCUAUAAAUUAAUAUUACUUCAUCUCUGCUGUAUCUGACAGUAUUUAAUUGGUCAUAUGUUAUUUACAUGUCUUAAUCCCUCUCUUAUUACAGAAGAACUCCAUGAACCUGCAAUACAGAAAUUUGAUUGGCUGCACUAUGUAAUCGUAGGCAUAAACGUGCUGCUCUUCAUUGCUGCCACCAUUGUGUGUGCCAUCAUUAUUCGAAAACGCAGGAAGAGAAGAAACUACGGCACUCAGUAAUUUGUUUUGCUUUGCAUACAUAAUAUGAAAACAUUGAUCUAUAGCUAAUUUUACUGGGAAUAUACCAGACCAAUUC
Molecule: long non-coding RNA, 921 nt
Filed under: Astyanax mexicanus (Mexican tetra)
Lineage: Eukaryota; Metazoa; Chordata; Actinopteri; Characiformes; Acestrorhamphidae
Description: lncRNA (ENSAMXG00005019833.1)
Source: RNAcentral